RNAcentral lists this ribosomal RNA (464 nucleotides) under uncultured bacterium. Its description in RNAcentral is "partial 16S ribosomal RNA". It matches the Rfam family "Bacterial small subunit ribosomal RNA", at positions 339 to 795 of the family's 1533-position model. The record is from RNAcentral.
CUACGGGAGGCAGCAGUGAGGAAUAUUGCGCAAUGGGCGAAAGCCUGACGCAGCGACGCCGCGUGAAGGAUGAAGGUCUUCGGAUCGUAAACUUCUGUUAAGUGGAAAGAAAGACUUGCUUUUAAUAGAAGCAAGGGAUGACGGUACCAUUAGAGAAAGCACCGGCUAACUUCGUGCCAGCAGCCGCGGUAAUACGAAGGGUGCAAGCGUUAUUCGGAAUCAUUGGGCGUAAAGGGUGCGUAGGCGGCCUUUCAAGUCUGUUGUUAAAUACCUCGGCCUAACCGAGGAUCGGCAGUGGAAACUGAUUGGCUAGAGUAUGGAAGAGAGAAGUAGAAUUCUCGGAGUAGCGGUAAAAUGCGUAGAUAUCGAGAGGAAUACCAAUGGCGAAGGCAGCUUCUUGGUCCAUUACUGACGCUGAUGCACGAAAGCGUGGGGAGCAAACAGGAUUAGAUACCCGAGUAGUC